CUGAACUCUAUCCACUAUUACCGUUGAUUCACGGGGACACGUCCUGUCAUUCUAUAGAAGAUUCCCCUGAUUCGCAAGAGGCUGCUCCGGCUCACGUUACCAUCUGGCACUUCAACUCACACUUCCAGUGGUUGCUAUCUCAUUGCUGAAAAUCUCUGCACACAACGGCGGCUCCGGCCAGCGCCAUUGCACGGCUCCUACAGCCAGCAGAGGGUUCUCCCGGCAAUUAAGGACGACUGCGGUCAGCGCUGUAUCACGGUACCCACAGCUACCAAGGGUCUUUCCGUGUAAACAGCCAGCACACGGCAUUCCUGGCCACAGCCACUGCUCGGCUCAUUUACCCAGUCAGCAGCACUUCUGAUUACCAAGACUGGUUACCUUCUAUAAGUGGACGUUAAAGGAUUCUCCUCAGCCCUUGGGAGACUACCUGAAGUUCCUGGCUAAACCACUUCAAAGACGCCGGUAAUUUGACUACAGCUCCUAACAUAUUUUGCUACCUUAUACGUCUAUAGGCCAGCCUGAAACUCCUAGUGUCUGAAAAAAGCAGUACUACUCGUCGGCCAGUAAAUCCUAACACAUCUGAUGAUGAUGACGCUGCGGAAGCAGGUCCAUCAAAAGAAGUAUGGAGCAGCAGAAGUGGCUCUUCUGUUAGACAUCACCACAAGAAACCUGUGGCCGAAAAGAAAGCAAGGUCGUCUGUCCCGCCACAAACACAGCAGGCUACCCCGCCACGUAGAUUAUCGUCCGUAUGAUCUGUCCCCCCACUCCAAAUCUUGGACACACCUCCAAGACGUCAUCCACACUCCCCUCAUCUUGAUUCUUCGAGUCCUGGGAACAGCAUCCCUCCGCAACAACACCAACACAGUGACAUGGAGGAGACAAACAUCUUAGAAAUACAGCCAUUAAUGCAAGGAAUGAGCCCCCCAGCACCUGUGAGUACACCACCACAGCAAAGCACACCACCCCCACCACAACACAGCCCAACAACACCAGGAACGGAACACAAGGCCCUGAUCAGGUGUUUUGGACUAUUUGGGCUAGACAGCAGGCCACUAAUGAAGAUUGCCUGCAUAAGCACACACAAAUGUUUGCAAGCCUACCAUCUCACCUCAGAAGAAUCUCAAGAAAUCUGAGUCGACAAAAUGAGCAAACAACCAGAAUAGGCAAUACCAUGGAACUCAUGCGUACAGACAUUACACAGGUCAUGGGCAACUUACAGCGCAUAAUGGAAGAACGGCACAGACUAAUGGAAGAACAGCACAGACUAAUGGAAGAACAGCACAGACAACAGCAAAGUUAUAUGAGCAUUUUUCAAAACAGUCAAAAGAUUAAUGAAAGUUUAUUCAGAAUAGUAGACAAUCAAAAUGCUGCGACACGUGAACUCAAUGCCACCCUCACUAACCUGAAUGAAACACUCAGAUGCAUGCACCAACAGCAAACAACCAGCUCCAAAUAUCACGCCAGUCUCAUCACCACCAAGACGGUCCACCAGAGCACGCCAACAUGACAGUGCUAAAGGCAAAGGGCAGGACAAGCAGCCACCAAAAAAAACAUAACAAAAAGAAGUUAGACAUUUGUGAUAAGUAAAGUUAGCAAGUGUUUUUGAUGCUUUACAAAAUAGCACACUUAGCUCCUUGCCCCUUUUUUUAACAUCAUUAAUUAUAAGUGCACCAAAUUAAGUGUAAAAAAUAGUUCACACAUUUAUUCCUUGUCAUUUUUUUGGGGUAUUGGAGGAGGAAAAUGUUGAUGGAGCCACACAUACAUGUUAGCAGGAAGUAAAGUGACCACUUGAUUUUUUUCUAAUUAUUACUCUUUCUAGAUUCCAAUCAUUCUCUUUGCCUGCAGAUACAAUAAUUGCCAGCCAGGCAGAAUGUCUUUAGCAGGAAGUAAAGUGACCACUUGAUUUUUUUCUAAUCAUUACUCUUUCUAGAUUCCAAUCAUUCUCUUUGCCUGCAGACAAUCCAAAUUACAAUGUUAGUGAUACAUAUCUUAGCUAGCUUAUCUAUACAACAUUACAAGAUGAACACAAUUGAGUUGCGUAAAAAGCUUGUAAUAUGUUGCCUUUGUUUUGUUUUUAAAAUAUUGUCCAAAUGAAUGUCAGUAUUGUUGGGCCAGGUUUGUGUGUGCUAAAAAUGAUUAAGCAUGUUUUUACACAUGAUGCUGAAACAAACAAAUAUGUACUUUAACAAAAUUUAAAAAAAACUGGUUAUAAUAAUGUAUAUGUGUGGCAAACUGUGUAUUUACUUACACAUCAUCAAGUUUACAGCAUCAAACAUUAGGAAAUAAAUUAUUCCUGAUUACAGUAAGUUUGUGAGUCUUAAAUAUGAUGGUGCGUCACACAUAGGGACACA
Long non-coding RNA from Pseudophryne corroboree (corroboree frog), 2351 nucleotides. RefSeq lists it as uncharacterized. Lineage: Eukaryota; Metazoa; Chordata; Amphibia; Anura; Myobatrachidae. The transcript is spliced from 5 exons. The record is from RefSeq and is a predicted model, not a curated record.